CCUACGGGGAGCUGCAGUGGGGAAUAUUGGGCAAUGGGCGCAAGCCUGACCCAGCAACGCCGCGUGAAGGAAGAAGGCUUUCGGGUUGUAAACUUCUUUUCUCAGGGACGAAGCAAGUGACGGUACCUGAGGAAUAAGCCACGGCUAACUACGUGCCAGCAGCCGCGGUAAUCCGGAGGAUGCGAGCGUUAUCCGGAUUUAUUGGGUUUAAAGGGUGCGUAGGGGGGCUGUUAAGUCAGCGGUAAAAGCCCGGGGCUCAACCCCGGCGAGCCGUUGAAACUGGCUGUCUUGAGAUGGCGGGAGGUAUGCGGAAUGCGCAGUGUAGCGGUGAAAUGCUUAGAUAGUGCGCAGAACUCCGAUUGCGAAGGCAGCAUACCGGCGGCGAUCUGACGCUGAGGCACGAAAGCGUGGGUAUCGAACAGGAUUAGAUACCCCAGUAGUC
RNAcentral lists this ribosomal RNA (442 nucleotides) under uncultured bacterium. RNAcentral describes it as "partial 16S ribosomal RNA". It matches the Rfam family "Bacterial small subunit ribosomal RNA", at positions 338 to 795 of the family's 1533-position model. The record is from RNAcentral.